UACGGAAGGCGCAAGCGUUGUUCGGAUUUACUGGGCGUAAAGGGUGCGUAGGCGGUCUGUCAAGCGGGGAGUGAAAUCCCGGGGUUCAACUCCGGAACUGCUCUCCGAACUGACGGACUCGAGUCCGGGAGAGGUGGGUGGAAUUCCUGGUGGAGCGGUGAAAUGCGUAGAUAUCAGGAGGAACACCGGUGGCGAAGGCGGCCCACUGGAACGAGACUGACGCUGAGGCACGAAAGCGUGGGGAGCAAACAGG
This 253-nucleotide ribosomal RNA is filed under the name uncultured bacterium. RNAcentral describes it as "partial 16S ribosomal RNA". It matches the Rfam family "Bacterial small subunit ribosomal RNA", at positions 524 to 776 of the family's 1533-position model. The record is from RNAcentral.